UUACUCCCUUCCAAAACCCUAGCUUUCUGGUUUCUUCCCACAAAUUCGACUCCUCGCUAAUUCCGCCCCAAUUCACAAGAAAACUUAGCUUCUUCCCUCCUUUAAUAUUUUAUAGAUGUAUGGAAUCAGUCGAUAACAGCUGGAACAAGACGAAGAAGCAAUCCGAUCUCUAGCGAAAUCCCUUCAAUUCUUUCCAAAAAGAAAACCUUUUCGAUGUCGCCAGCUUCCACAGGCCGAAUCAAAUCGAAUCGAGUCGAUCCCGAUCUGGACGAAAAUAAAAGUGAAAAAAAAGGAAUGAGUGAUUAUGCGUUCUAUAAUGGAAAUCAAAUCUUUCCGAAUUUGAGCGAUACGAAUCGAAGAGUAGAGAUCAAGGCUUUUCCUCAGCAGGUUUGGAUUUCGAUCUCCAUUCUUACCCUAAAAUUAUUUCACCAGGGAUGCUUUCGAGAUCCGAAUCGCGUCCAAAUUCCGCUUUGUUCUUUGGAGUACUGAUUUAAUAAGCGCGUCGGAGU
Molecule: long non-coding RNA, 509 nt
Filed under: Phoenix dactylifera (date palm)
Lineage: Eukaryota; Viridiplantae; Streptophyta; Magnoliopsida; Arecales; Arecaceae
Description: long non-coding RNA (PDAC_LNC022929)
Source: RNAcentral